This 203-nucleotide non-coding RNA is filed under the name Cycloclasticus sp. symbiont of Poecilosclerida sp. N. RNAcentral also lists the same sequence under 1 other name. Lineage: Bacteria; Pseudomonadati; Pseudomonadota; Gammaproteobacteria; Thiotrichales; Piscirickettsiaceae. The record is from RNAcentral.
GAUAAUGCUCGUGCUUUUGGUUUGAGUGUAUAACUCAAUUUUAAGGGAAGUUGGUACGACACUGUUCAAACCCAACACUGCCCCCGCAACGGUAUAUAAGAAAAGUGUAUCAACAGCCACUGUGUAAAACAUGGGAAGGCGAUACAUCGGCGAUUCAAUAGCCACUUAUGAGUCCGGAGACCUGCCAUUAGCAAAUCGGUACG